CCUCUUUCCUUCAUUCAAUGCCCUCUUCAGUGUCCUUGCCUCGUCCGGUGUUCUCUUCAUCCUUGGCUCUUCGCACAAUCUCUCCUUUAAAUCUCCCUCUUCGAUCACGUUUUGCCGGCACAGAUCUCUCUCGAUCAAUAGGGAUUCGUAACGGUCCCAGAUGUGGCAUGCACGUUGGUUUGUGGUGGCUAGCCGUCCUUCCUCUUUUAAGGAGUCUUGCGCGAUCGGCUCAGGUCUGUGCCUUCUGCUGGAGGACGAGUCUGCUCACUAUUCAGCGUAGCUCGCGGGAUCCUCUUUUUUUAUUUUGGUCUUGAAUCUCCAUUGUGCAGCUUUGGUUGGGUUUCUUUCCAUCUUUAUCUAUCUUUUUUUAUACGCGUUGAUCUUGCGCCCCCACAGAUGAUACCCAAUCAAUCUUUGUGGCCAUUUUUUAUUAAACAAUAGUGUUUUUUAUUGUUUCUCAUAUAAUAAUUCUGAUGAAGUUUACGUAAUUAUAGAGUGUAGGAAAAUCUAAUGUCAGAUGUUAGUCAUACGACUCAAUGGCUCUAGGAUUGUUCUCCCAAAACUUUGUCCAAUUAGAAGUUGCCAAUACGGUGGUACUCAUGUUUGUUUGUUUCGAUUUCUCAUGUUUUAUAUUUGAGAUCCAACAUAUUGCUGGUAGUGUCUUUAUGUCGAUGAUAUAGUGUGUUGACAUGGAUGGGUAUGAAAAGACUUAUUUUCCAAGUUCUGCCAAAAUUUAUUUGCCUAUCACUUCUAAUUUGUGUGUGGAAGAUUGUACUGAGCGUUUAAAAUGGUUUUACAAAAACUGCACCAUCAAUUUUGGUAAGAUAGGUGUUGGUAGAAUUACAAAGAAUAGCCAUUUCUUUUACCCUAUAGCUGUGUGGACACAUUUGUCACUGAUCGUCUCCAGAGCUCAUUUUUUAUGAGCUUUUAGUUUAAUGUUUCUAUUCAGUUGACAUGGUUGAUGACAAGAACUUAUUGAAUCCAUCGUUUGUUUCUUACCGUGUCAAUUUCAAAUUCUUGGUCAUUAAGAUUCAUGUGCAACUGUGUACUUGGCUUUGCCUAUUUUUAGUAAAAUUAUUAUUUACUGAUUAAAAAAAAAGAUUAAUGUGCAAUACAAAAUAAUAUUUAAGAAUAGAUAUUAUCUCUCCCUUUCUCCUCUCAAACAAAUUGAAAGGAUGAAGUUUUGCUAUUUGGAAUUGUCUUAGGUCUAAUUCCUAUUGCUUUGGCUGGAUUAUUUGCAACAACAUAUUUACAAUAUAGAAGAUGAAGUUACCAUAAACGUCAUAAAAUUUUUCGAUUAAAAUUAAAUGAAAUUAUGUGGCAAGUGAGAGGCUUGUGGCAAAUGUGACGACAGCGAAGUGGCGUAAGUAUGAAGGUGUGGAUAAUUCAUUUCACUUAUCAUAAUUGGGUAUCCAUAGGAUCUCCUUCAUAAUGUCCUAAUGCAUAAACUUUUGAGGCCUGAACCAAGAAUUGUAACCUCUUAACAUCGACAUGGAGAGGACAUUUUUGAGUUAAGUAUGUGCUGCUAGUGGCAUAAUUCCAGCUUCUUCUUCGUUUUUAUUUUUUUUCAAAAAGAAGCUGAAAACAUUAGUUGAUGUUCUAUUCGGUGUUUUCUGAAGUGAUGGGAUUAAAAUCACAAGUAUGCCUGGGAAAAGCAUAAAAUGAAAAUGAUAUUUUCACUAGCAUUUUAGUUAUAUAGAUUAUUUUAUUGCACAAUUUAUUGUCAUGACUUAUCCUCUCUAAUGUAUCUCUGUACCAAACAUUCAUGUAUUUCAUGGUUUUUGCAUGUCCACUUGUUUUUCUAAUUUGAGUACUAAUAUUUGUUACUCAAAAGUUAAUAUCCCAUUGGUUUUCAGUCAUUUUGAUUCAAAUAAUUAGGAUCUUUAUAUUUGAUCUUAUUUUGUUAGAUAGAGUUGAAAAAUCCAAUGUUAGCUGAAGCUCAU
Molecule: RNA transcript, 1943 nt
Organism: Juglans regia (Persian walnut)
Lineage: Eukaryota; Viridiplantae; Streptophyta; Magnoliopsida; Fagales; Juglandaceae
Exons: 3
Source: RefSeq, a predicted model, not a curated record